UUAAAUGGCUGUUUUUCUUCGUACCACUAUAAUUUUUUUUAUAAAUUUUUUAGUGAUUCAAAACAAACUAACUGAAGGAUGCAGAUGUCUUUCUUUAAAUUAUAAAAAUCAAAUAUUGAUUGCAGAUAUGGUUUUAAAAAUACAAGUUAAGGAAGAUCAAGAAUACAAUCUUCACUCAUAUUAUAAUCAUCUGUACAAUUUUACAGUGCUGAAAGUUUAUAAGGUGUCACGGAGAUUUUUACCGUACUUAAAUCAAAACUACUUGAUCACGCCAUGCAGCGAUUGCUGGUGUGGAAUUGAAAUGCGAUA
This is a long non-coding RNA of Cotesia glomerata, 309 nucleotides long. RefSeq lists it as uncharacterized. NCBI's taxonomy places the organism in Eukaryota, Metazoa, Arthropoda, Insecta, Hymenoptera, Braconidae. The transcript has 3 exons. The record is from RefSeq and is a predicted model, not a curated record.